RNAcentral lists this ribosomal RNA (731 nucleotides) under uncultured spirochete. RNAcentral describes it as "bacterial SSU rRNA". It matches the Rfam family "Bacterial small subunit ribosomal RNA", at positions 23 to 805 of the family's 1533-position model. Lineage: Bacteria; Pseudomonadati; Spirochaetota; Spirochaetia; Spirochaetales. The record is from RNAcentral.
CUCAGAACGAACGCUGGCGGCGCGUUUUAAGCAUGCAAGUCGAACGAUGAAUCUGGCUUCGGCCAGUGGAUUAGUGGCGAACGGGUGAGUAACACGUGGAUAAUCUGCCCCGAGGUGUGGGAUAGCCCUACGAAAGUAGGAUUAAUACCGCAUACACCUUUAUAUGCAAAUGUGUAUUUAGGGAAAGUAGCGAUACGCCUUGGGAUGAGUCCGCGGUCCAUUAGCUAGUUGGUGGGGUAAGAGCUUACCAAGGCGAUGAUGGAUAGCCGGCCUGAGAGGGUGAACGGCCACAUUGGGACUGAGAUACGGCCCAGACUCCUACGGGAGGCAGCAGCUAAGAAUCUUCCGCAAUGAGCGCAACUUGACGGAGCGACGCCGCGUGGACGAAGAAGGCGUUUUGCGUUGUAAAGUCCUUUUCUACAGGAAGAAUACUUGGGGAUAGCCUGAGUUGACGGUACUGUAGGAAUAAGCCCCGGCUAAUUACGUGCCAGCAGCCGCGGUAAUACGUAAGGGGCUAGCGUUGUUCGGAAUUAUUGGGCGUAAAGGCCUGUAGCGGACUGAUAAUCAGGUGUGAAAGUCACGCUUAACGUGAACUGCGCUGAACUGUUGUCUUGAUGUCGAGAGGUACGAAUUCUGGUGUAGGGUAAWYWUAAWWCAGAAGACACCGUUCRAGCGGUACUKGCGACAUAMCUGAUGCGAACAUGGACAMAGAUAAUMCUGUAUCAUCUUAA